GCAAAGUCAGAAAAAUUUCACGUCACAGCAAGGCGGCAAACGAGCCCAUUCCGCAGAACUAGCAUAC
RNAcentral lists this small RNA (67 nucleotides) under Salmonella enterica subsp. enterica serovar Typhi. RNAcentral describes it as "StyR-134". Lineage: Bacteria; Pseudomonadati; Pseudomonadota; Gammaproteobacteria; Enterobacterales; Enterobacteriaceae. The record is from RNAcentral.